Molecule: transfer RNA, 85 nt
Filed under: Parcubacteria group bacterium
Lineage: Bacteria
Description: tRNA-Tyr
Rfam family: tRNA
About the family: Transfer RNA (tRNA) molecules are approximately 80 nucleotides in length.
Source: RNAcentral
GGGCGUGUCGCAUAGCGGCAAUUGCACUUGGCUGUAAACCAAGCGGCUUCGGCCUACGGGGGUUCGAGUCCCUCCGCGCCCACCA